Long non-coding RNA from Exaiptasia diaphana, 755 nucleotides. RefSeq lists it as uncharacterized. The transcript has 3 exons. NCBI's taxonomy places the organism in Eukaryota, Metazoa, Cnidaria, Anthozoa, Actiniaria, Aiptasiidae. The record is from RefSeq and is a predicted model, not a curated record.
UGUUCUCUUGAUUGCUUUCAUYUAAUCAAACAAAGAAACUGACACUUACAUGACAACAGAAGCGAGAGACCUACAUGAGAGACAUAUGAAAAACCCGAUGAUGCCUGCAGCUUCCAUGUAUAACUGUUACACUUAGCUACAAACUGCAUGAAUACUUGAUGAGGAAAGGAAGCACAUAUGUAAAUCUGUAAAAGAGGUCUACUUAAAGUCUUUUUGUCGCUGAUAACAAUGUAAUCCAGAAGAAAUAAAAAGAACUCAUAAAACAGAUGGCAGUUUAUCCAAAGUGAACUGGCAAAUGGAUGUGACACUUUUCUAAGAUCUUACAAGCUCCUGUUAGCCAGCUUGGCGUGGUUUAAAGAAGGAAAAUCUAUUCUAUACCAAACAGGUGUCGACGAUUGAUUCUAUCAAUUAUCUGAGUCCAAAAUCUUGGGAAGACUACAUUGACACAGUAAUUGAAGUCCUAUUUUAAUUUUUUCAUAUGUCCAGGUGACAAGUUGUUUGAUUUAAGUCCGUCUAUUUUCGCCUGGGAUGAUGGACGAUAAGAGCUUCUCUCACAAGUGAAAAAGGACAGAAAGUGAGGACUUUCUACUUCAUAACUAUAAGACUAUAUUGUUUAUUGACAAAAGGACAACAUAUGAAUGGAAYCAGGGCGUGUAUUCGGAUWUGAGAAAAAUGRGUUCAAAGGCUUCUAAUACGAGCGAUUGUAAUUCACACAGUUUUGAGGUAUCAUUUGUUGUUAUMUUCGYCWUACAAUC